AUUGUUGCGGUUAAAACGCUCGUUAGUUGAGAUUUUGUUGGGAGUCACGGGUCCGUCCGAGUGACGCUGCACGCGUGCUCCUGACUGGGGAUGGUUUCGUUCGCGGGAUCUGAUCCAACAUUACUUUGAGAAAACGAGAGUGUUCCAAGCGGGUUAUUGUCAGAAUACAUUAGCAUGGAAUAAUAGCAUAGGACCUCAUUCGCUAUUGGUAUAGGGAGUGAGGGAACGCAAAUAGGGAUAGUUGGGGGCAUUCGUAUUUAACUGUCAGAGGUGAAAUUCUUGGAUUUUUUAAAGACGAACUAGUGCGAAAGCAUCUGCCCAGGAUGUUUUUGUUAAUCAAGAACGAAAGUUAGGGGAUCGAAGACGAUCAGAUACCGUCCUAGUCUUAACCAUAAACCAUGCCGACUAGAGAUUGGGGCGCCUUUUUGUCCCCAGCAGCUUGAGAGAAAUCAAAGUCUUCGGGUUCCGGGGGGAGUAUGGUCGCAAGGCUGAAACU
Molecule: ribosomal RNA, 496 nt
Filed under: uncultured marine eukaryote
Lineage: Eukaryota
Description: bacterial SSU rRNA
Rfam family: Eukaryotic small subunit ribosomal RNA
Source: RNAcentral